AUACUGCAAGUCGAGCGAAUGGAUUGAGAGCUUGCUCUCAAGAAGUUAGCGGCGGACGGGUGAGUAACACGUGGGUAACCUGCCCAUAAGACUGGGAUAACUCCGGGAAACCGGGGCUAAUACCGGAUAACAUUUUGAACUGCAUGGUUCGAAAUUGAAAGGCGGCUUCGGCUGUCACUUAUGGAUGGACCCGCGUCGCAUUAGCUAGUUGGUGAGGUAACGGCUCACCAAGGCAACGAUGCGUAGCCGACCUGAGAGGGUGAUCGGCCACACUGGGACUGAGACACGGCCCAGACUCCUACGGGAGGCAGCAGUAGGGAAUCUUCCGCAAUGGACGAAAGUCUGACGGAGCAACGCCGCGUGAGUGAUGAAGGCUUUCGGGUCGUAAAACUCUGUUGUUAGGGAAGAACAAGUGCUAGUUGAAUAAGCUGGCACCUUGACGGUACCUAACCAGAAAGCCACGGCUAACUACGUGCCAGCAGCCGCGGUAAUACGUAGGUGGCAAGCGUUAUCCGGAAUUAUUGGGCGUAAAGCGCGCGCAGGUGGUUUCUUAAGUCUGAUGUGAAAGCCCACGGCUCAACCGUGGAGGGUCAUUGGAAACUGGGAGACUUGAGUGCAGAAGAGGAAAGUGGAAUUCCAUGUGUAGCGGUGAAAUGCGUAGAGAUAUGGAGGAACACCAGUGGCGAAGGCGACUUUCUGGUCUGUAACUGACACUGAGGCGCGAAAGCGUGGGGAGCAAAC
This 741-nucleotide ribosomal RNA is filed under the name Bacillus sp. CH38c. RNAcentral's name for it is "bacterial SSU rRNA". It matches the Rfam family "Bacterial small subunit ribosomal RNA", at positions 51 to 773 of the family's 1533-position model. The record is from RNAcentral. Lineage: Bacteria; Bacillati; Bacillota; Bacilli; Caryophanales; Bacillaceae.